This 390-nucleotide ribosomal RNA is filed under the name uncultured eukaryote. RNAcentral's name for it is "SSU rRNA". It matches the Rfam family "Eukaryotic small subunit ribosomal RNA", at positions 587 to 972 of the family's 1831-position model. The record is from RNAcentral.
AGCUCCAGUAGCGUAUAUUAAAGUUGUUGCAGUUAAAAAGCUCGUAGUUGGAUUUCUGAUGAACCAAAGUGGCCCGUUCCCUUUCGGGUAUGAGUGCCGCUUUGAGUUUGUCAUCCUUCCAGAGAGCUGCGUCUACCGUUUACUCGGCCGGGCGUAUGCGAUCUGGAUCUAUUACUUUGAAAAAAUUAGAGUGUUUAAAGCAGGCUUAUGCUGUGAAUACAUUAGCAUGGAAUAAUAAUUUAGGACUUUGGUCCUAUUUUGUUGGUUUCUAGGACUGAAGUAAUGAUUGAUAGGGAUAGUUGGGGGUGCUAGUAUUCCACGGCCAGAGGUGAAAUUCUUGGAUUCGUGGAAGACUAACUACUGCGAAAGCAUUCACCAAGGAUGUCUUCU